CUACGGGAGGCAGCAGUGAGGAAUAUUGGGCAAUGCCCGCAAGGGUGACCCAGCAACGCCGCGUGGAGGAUGAAUGCCGUAAGGUUGUAAACUCCUGUGAGAUGGGAUGAAAGUGCAUAAUUCGUAAGGGUUAUGCUUUGACCGUACCAUCAGAGGAAACCCCGGCUAACUACGUGCCAGCAGCCGCGGUAAUACGUAGGGGGUAAGCGUUGUCCGGAUUUACUGGGUGUAAAGGGCGCGUAGGCGGGCCCGUAAGUCAGAGGUGAAAGCCUGCAGCUUAACUGCAGAACUGCCUUUGAUACUGCGGGUCUUGAAUUCAGAAGAGAGAGAUGGAAUUCCAGGUGUAGUGGUGAAAUACGUAGAUAUCUGGAAGAACACCAGUGGCGAAGGCGAUCUCUUGGUCUGAUAUUGACGCUGAGGCGCGAAAGCGUGGGUAGCAAACAGGAUUAGAUACCCCGGUAGU
Molecule: ribosomal RNA, 463 nt
Filed under: uncultured bacterium
Lineage: Bacteria
Description: bacterial SSU rRNA
Rfam family: Bacterial small subunit ribosomal RNA
Source: RNAcentral